Molecule: long non-coding RNA, 1422 nt
Filed under: Panax ginseng (ginseng)
Lineage: Eukaryota; Viridiplantae; Streptophyta; Magnoliopsida; Apiales; Araliaceae
Description: long non-coding RNA (PGIN_LNC010567)
Source: RNAcentral
AAGAGGGUUCUUCUCGUUCUCAUUUCUCACAUUUUCUCUACGCUAACAAACCGACCCACCAUGGCCACGAACAAUGGAUUGAGAUCCUGCGCUUCAAAGCUGCUGAAAACUACCGAAAUAAUUCUACCCAAAUCAGGUUCAUACCCUAAUAUGUUUUUUUUUAAUUUACAAAUCAAUCGCUCUAGGGUUUCGCUAUUUGGCUGCUGAGAAGAUUUGGGUAUUAGUUAUUGAUUUUUUGUAUCUUAGCUAAUGAAAUGGGUGGUUUGUUAUUUGAUUGCAAAAUUAUGGAAUAUAAUGUUCUUAUAUCUUAAGAUUUUUUUUUAUUGGUGUUAAUCAUGUGUUUCUUUGUGGUGUGUGCUAUCUGUGUUUGUGUGUGACUGCGUAUAUGUAUAGUAAUUUGAUUUGUGAAAAUUAUUGUGAUAGAUUAGAAUUUAUUUUUAAUGGAUCAGUUUUGAGUAAGUUGUAGUAGUAUAUUUGUGAUGUGGUUUUUGUGCCCAUGUGUGCCCAUGUAUUUGUGAGAACAAAAAUUUAAGCUUUGGUUAAAUGGUUUGAUUUCUUUGUGCUGGAUUAUUUGGAAAUUUCAUGAAGGUUCUGUUAUCUUUCAUGGAAUUAAACUUGGCCUUUGUAAUUUUGAUUAUUCCUCGUCAGUUUACAGAUUUAUUUAAUAUUUAUUUAUUCUUUUUGUACUAUCAAAUGCUGCAUUUUUGAUUGCUUGCUGAUUUAUAGAAUAUGGUAAUCAAAUGGUCUCUGUAAUUUACAAAAUUCAAGUGUGCUCAUUUGUACAUAGGUAUAUACAUGUAAGGAAUGUGACUGACUCAACAAAUGUACUAACCUCGCUGUUAUUUGCCCAAUUACUGAAUGGACGAUACAUGAGGGUGCUCAUAUUCUUCUCACCCUUGCAUGGAUUUGCAAAGACGCUUCCACUUUCAUUUAGUGAAGCCAUUGUAAAUCCAAAAUAAUCAGUCAUUGCUGGAACUCGUGGUCCACUGCCAGUAUCAUGAAAAUCUAUCUGCAUUCAAGUCAUAACAAUCCAAUCCAUUAGUAAGUGAUAUACAGUUUUUAUCAUCAUGGGUUUUACAUCGAGUGUGUAAACCAACUUAUUAUCUCUGCAUGGUUUUGAAACAGGAAAGCUUGAUUGUCCACCAAAUUGUUUAUUACUGCUCACAGUUUUGAAAAACCGAAGCUAGAUGACUGGUUGUUUUAAACUUGGACUAUGACUGAAGUAUACCCAACUUAGUUUAAGUUUGUCAUGUUGGGGUUGGGAUGACAGAUUUCAAACGAGCACAUUUGAUUUAGUAUGUCUAUAUGAACUCUAAGGAGUCAGUUGUAAACAUCAAUGCCACUAUCAAUGAAACUUCAAAAAAAAAGUUUGUGGUCUAUUUUAUAAUAGGGAAGAGUAACCAUAUUCUCCUCUUCGCGAAC